GUGAUAUAUGAGAAGUUUGGCAAAGACAGCUGCUUCCCCAUCACAGUUAUGCUACUGAACCUUCAAGUGUGAGGUAACUUCCUGUUUCCGAAAGGUGUCGUGUUUCUUUCGAUUUCUGUCACUUGGCAAAGAGUUUUCAGGGUUUCUCCCAGCUAGAAGGAUCCUUACGUUACAUCAGUAGCGUGCACCGAGUGCAGUAACAUCUAUAGGUCAUCUCAGGCUGUGGUGAGGAAAGCAGCGCCUUUAUUUCAGGUGACUGUGAGAAGCUCCAGCUCCCCAGGUACGGGCCGCUUCCAGCCCGUAGGGCCUGAGCCCGACACCUGCGCUAGAGCUCGGCAGGCCUCUCCUGGAUGGACAGAGGCGGGUCCUCUGUGGGCGUCCGGACCCCAGCUCACCCACGCCUGCCUUCCGCUCAUCGCCGCCCACUCCCGGGCGUUUCUCCGGGAGGCCUGGGGUCCCGGGCCUCGGCGGCCUGCGGGUGAGCUGCCCUUCCUCUGGGAUCCCGGCGCAGGGCCUGGAACCCUAACUGGAGAGGCACUCCGGCUGCGCCCCACUCCGCCAUCUUCCCGGAAGUCUUGUGAAGAGGCCUGCACAGCGUGCCACUGAGGUGCUGCCCUCCACGGUGUUACGGUGCAUCAAGAAGUUCCUGACCAGAUGUUGAGCAGAUGCCUCUAGGGGCCCUCAAGCUUCUCAGCCUCCAGAAUUGACUUUGGUCAAGAAUACUCUUGGUGGAGAAAAGCAGCAGGGCCAGUUCCUCCUCAGCCCCAGUGGGCCAGCGUUGUGCUCCUCCUCCGGCGUGCCUACCGGAGACAGCCCUCACCCUUGGGGAAUCCCCUCAUUGAACUCCGAUUGCCUUCUCUCAAGAGGUAUUGAAGGACUGAAAUCAUUCUCCUUUCCUAAGCCAUGCGUGCAUGCUCAUUGCAGGAUGCUGUCCUCAUGGGAGACUUGGUGUGUAGAAAGCAAGACUGUUGUCCUUCUGAGUUCACUGUAACUGGGCAGAAGAUGAUGGCCUUUAGGGUUAGUGAUAGAAUCAAACUGACUUUAUUAAUAUUCAACACAUUGUAGAAUAUCAGUCUCAGUAUCUACUUUGUUUUAUAGAAUAUAUUAAUUUUUUGUAUUCUUAUGCAUUUUAAUUUGAGUUUGGUGUGAGAAUAAAUUAUCCUAAGUAUAUUUUCACAUGAUUAUUCUUUAAUAUUCUCUAUUUACUUUUCUACCUGUGAGGCCAGUAUGCAAAGAUUUAAAGGAAAAAUGGUGCAUGGAUAGACAGACAGACAGACAUAGUUAUUCUGUUGAGAGACCGUGCAACUCAGUGAUAUCCAGUAAUCUUGGAAGUCACAAACACAUAGGUUCCAGUCCUAAAUCCAGCACAUUACUACAUUGAUGCCCUCCAAGGGACCUAAGUUUAUACAUUUCAAUUUUGCCUUUUAAGGAAACAUCAUGGGAAAAUAUGUCUUUUUAUCAAAGACCACAUCAAAUAUGGCUUUCAGUGAAUAACAGUUGUGUUACUAUCAUUGUCUUUUGUGAGAUUAAAGGUACAACAUACGUAAAGUGCUGACCAUGGUGCGUGAGCAUUCUGGUGUGCCACUGCACAGUAGAGUGACUACAGAUAAUAAUAAAGUACUCUAUACCACAAAAAGCUAUAAAGAAUAAUUUAGAAUAUUUCAUCAAAGAUAUAGAUAUUUGAUGAGGUAGAUAUGCAUAACCUAAUUUAAAUAUUGCACAGUUUAUAUAUGCAUUGAAAUAUCAUGAUACCCCCUUAAUAUGGAAAUAUUUAUGUUACAGUUACAUUUAAUAAUUAAACCAUACAAAUAUACAAG
Molecule: long non-coding RNA, 1817 nt
Organism: Heterocephalus glaber (naked mole-rat)
Lineage: Eukaryota; Metazoa; Chordata; Mammalia; Rodentia; Bathyergidae
Source: Ensembl